AUAGGAAGCGCAUGCUUGCAUGCAGAUUCGUAUCUGUGGCGAGAUGCAACGGAAAUGAGCAAGUAGCACGGUAGUGCGGAUUGCGAAUUAACGUUGUAGGAUUGCGGGAGCACAUCGUGCGGAGCAAUCCGUAA
Molecule: small RNA, 134 nt
Filed under: uncultured Eubacterium sp.
Lineage: Bacteria; Bacillati; Bacillota; Clostridia; Eubacteriales; Eubacteriaceae
Also listed under: 1 other name
Description: Clostridiales-1 RNA
Rfam family: Clostridiales-1 RNA
Source: RNAcentral